This is a non-coding RNA of Paramormyrops kingsleyae, 312 nucleotides long. The record is from RefSeq and is a predicted model, not a curated record. NCBI's taxonomy places the organism in Eukaryota, Metazoa, Chordata, Actinopteri, Osteoglossiformes, Mormyridae.
UGUCAUCAAGCCAGUUUUUAACUGAUUGCCCUCUGUGUGUGUUUGGUUUAGGAGGAGCAAGCCAACACUAAUCUGGGCAAGUUCCGGAAGCUUCAACAUGAGCUGGAUGAGGCUGAGGAGAGAGCCGACAUCGCGGAGUCUCAGGUCAACAAGCUGCGAGCCAAAAGCCGGGAUGUGUCAAAGAAAGGACAUGAUGAAGAGUGAUGCUCUGAGGAGGACUUGGCCUCUCUGAACCCUCCUGUCUGCUGUAAUUUAGACAGGAACCUCACUGUCCCUCUGACAUGGUAGAAUAAAGUCUCCUUGCAACAUGAA